This is a long non-coding RNA of Rhineura floridana, 670 nucleotides long. RefSeq lists it as uncharacterized. NCBI's taxonomy places the organism in Eukaryota, Metazoa, Chordata, Lepidosauria, Squamata, Rhineuridae. The record is from RefSeq and is a predicted model, not a curated record. The transcript is spliced from 3 exons.
CGGUUCUACUAUACAAAUAGUGCAAGGAAACUCUGGGUCUCUCUUCACUUUGCCUAGUCUUUCAGGAGAUCCAGAUUUCGUAGCAUAUGGAUUUUACAGCGGCUGGGUUUAAACUGGGAACGUCAAGCGAAGGCAGGGCUGUAAUCCCUUCCCCUCUGGGGGCCGCCCGGAAGGAUUUCAUAGGAUCUCUUCAAGAAGCCACAGAGAGCCAGCCCGAGUUCCCGCCUCCUGCCCUUCACCAUUCAUUCCCGUCGCCAGCAGCUGGUACAUUUUGAGCGGCUCCUUCCUGGUUCUUAGCUGCAAGAUUAUCUACUUGGACGAGAAGCUUAGGACUCUUUCAGCUCAGCGAAGAGGGACAAAGGCCGCGGUGUCUUCUCCUGCUGCGAGCGUCCCUCGUUGCUCCUGCGCCACUUAAAUAAAUAAAUUAAAGUGACUGGUGCAACACCAAAUUUAGAUGCUCUAAGCCAGCCUCUGCCAUCCUGAAAUCCUCCAGAUGUUUUGGACUACAACUCCUAUCAAGCCUCAACCAGCAUGCCCCUAAACCACGGAGAGCUCUAAGCAUCCUGUGUUGAGUGGAAGCAAUUGAGCUCCGUGACAGUUCCCGAGGAACUGUUUCCCAGGUGAAGUGUUGGUGUGUGUCUGCAUAAAUCUCUGUCCCCAGCAGUUCUAU